GACAGAGGGUGCAAACGUUGCUCGGAAUCACUGGGCGUAAAGGGCGUGUAGGCGGGACGGUAAGUCGGGCGUGAAAUCCCUAGGCUCAACCUAGGAACUGCACUCGAAACUACCAUUCUUGAGUGUCGGAGAGGAAAGCGGAAUUCCUGGUGUAGAGGUGAAAUUCGUAGAUAUCAGGAGGAACACCAGUGGCGAAGGCGGCUUUCUGGACGAUAACUGACGUGAGACGCGAAAGCGUGGGGAGCAAACAGG
This 252-nucleotide ribosomal RNA is filed under the name uncultured bacterium. Its description in RNAcentral is "partial 16S ribosomal RNA". It matches the Rfam family "Bacterial small subunit ribosomal RNA", at positions 524 to 776 of the family's 1533-position model. The record is from RNAcentral.